GAUGAACGCUGGCGGCGUGCCUAACACAUGCAAGUCGAACGAAGCGCCCGCGCGGAUUCCCUCGGGAUGAAGCGCGGAUGACUGAGUGGCGGACGGGUGAGUCACGCGUGGGCAACCUGCCCCGUGCCGGGGGACAACAGCCGGAAACGGCUGCUAAUACCGCAUGAUCCGGGAGGGCCGCAUGGCCCUGCCGGGAAAGCUCCGGCGGCACGGGAUGGGCCCGCGUCUGAUUAGUUUGUUGGCGGGGUAACGGCCCACCAAGACUGCGAUCAGCAGCCGGCCUGAGAGGGCGGCCGGCCACAUUGGGACUGAGACACGGCCCAG
RNAcentral lists this ribosomal RNA (324 nucleotides) under uncultured bacterium. RNAcentral describes it as "bacterial SSU rRNA". It matches the Rfam family "Bacterial small subunit ribosomal RNA", at positions 28 to 334 of the family's 1533-position model. The record is from RNAcentral.